This 292-nucleotide ribosomal RNA is filed under the name uncultured bacterium. RNAcentral's name for it is "partial 16S ribosomal RNA". It matches the Rfam family "Bacterial small subunit ribosomal RNA", at positions 505 to 796 of the family's 1533-position model. The record is from RNAcentral.
GUGUCAGCAGCCGCGGUAAGACAGAGGGUGCAAACGUUGCUCGGAAUUACUGGGCGUAAAGCGCGUGUAGGCGGACCACCAAGUCGGACGUGAAAGCCCUGAGCUCAACUCAGGAACUGCAUCCGAAACUGGCGGUCUGGAGUAGUGGAGAGGAAAGCAGAAUUCCUGGUGUAGAGGUGAAAUUCGUAGAUAUCAGGAGGAACACCGGUGGCGAAGGCGGCUUUCUGGACACUUACUGACGCUGAGACGCGAAAGCGUGGGGAGCAAACAGGAUUAGAAACCCGUGUAGUCC